AGAUCUGGGAAAUACUGCAGCAAGCUCACUAAAGAUAUCUGCUUCUUGUUCAGAGACAGCAGCAUGACAAAGCAUCAGGUUAAAUAUAGUAUUUGAGAGAGAAACAUCUCAUAGUGACAAGAGUAAGCAAUCCAUGCCAGCAAAAUGCAGUCGUUAAACUGUGUGCGCGCAUCGCCAGGGACAGGACGCAGCAUCUCCAGUCUCUCCCAGAGCCUCUCAGCAGGCAGCACAAGGAAAAGGCUCCCUCUCUGAGCAAGUGCACGGUUUCUGUGUUCCGUGGCAAGGUGAGCCCCGAGAUCCCUCCAGCAGAGGGGAGUGCAGCCUGUGCAGCAGGAGAAGGGGAGAGCUUGGCAUCUGCACCAUGUCUGGAACAAGAUUCCAUCUUGAACAAGUAUCGGUGAAAAACACCAUGUUCCUUCUCGAGUCUCUUGGAAAAGCAGGCUGAGGUCAGCAGGCUUUCAGAGAGGGAAAUUUGGAAAGAAGCUGCUGCUAGAUGAGAUUAUUGCUAAAGGUACACAAGUUCUCACCUUUUGAAAGCCCUCCCCCAAACGUGGCUUCUCACGGGGACCAGCUAUGAGACACAUGGAAUCACAGAAUCAUUAAGAUUGGAAAAGACCUUUAAGAUCAUCUAGUCCAACCAUCAAUCCAUCACCACCCUGCCCACUAACCCACGUCAAACCUUACCUUGGGACGAAGAACAGUGUGCUGAGCAUAUCCUGCCAGAGUCCUCCUUCAGCCUUGCUUUUGAAGCAGCUGGUGCUGGAUGCUGACAAGAGGCAUACCAAGAUACAACAACCGCUUUGUGGUUCAUUUGUGAGCCUGUCAGCCAGUGACAUCCUUCUUCCAAUUUCCUCUCUCAGCAGCCAUAUAAUUCAUCUGGUCUGUGUGCACACUCUUGGCUCGUCUGCCAUCAACCAACAGAGCAGGGACAGUUUGGAGGACAUCUGCUCUGAACACAUUGGCCUGAUGCUGAAUGAUGGAACUAGUUUGUACUGACGAGGACUGACUCUUAAAUCUUCCCAGGUUGAAGACUAGCAGAAAUACAAGAGGCAAAAUUGUCCAUGUCAAGCAAAGGGAUAAGAUAACUAAGUGUUUUUACUCCUUUGCACCAAAUUGGCAGCGAGUAAAUACUCACCAGGUUUUCUCUACAAGCGAAGCACUUCAUAAAGCAGAUCAAAGCCCUUCCUGAAUCUCAACAAUAGUACGGCUCAUUUCUGAGUAACACAUCCCAUGGAGAGGUCUCCUUGCAGGCACAGCACCAGCCAAAACAGGAUUAGCAAGUGGUGGAAAUAAGCAGAAAUUUUCACACUUCUGAAAGCAAUAGCUGCUAGAGUAACUCACAACGUGCAAAGUGUCUUCACUCAGAAGAUUCCUAAGCUCAGAAAAAAAAAGGCUUGCAGUGGAAUCCCACACUGCCAAAAUGCCACCGCUUUUAAGGACAGCCUUUGAACCUGUUAAAUCGCAUUUCACAUUCUUGUUCCAACUCAUUCAGGGGCGCAUGGAAAGAAAGCUGACUGCAAGAUGCCUUGAGCUUGGUCUCCUGAGAUUAUAUAGAACGAAAUAGACUUUAUUGACUCAAAUACACUGCAAAUAUCUCACUGCCGUCUGUCCUUGUACACUAUUGUCAUUAUCCUUUUCAGGAACUACAGUGGAGAUUCCAACCAAAAGGAGGGUCCCAACAGGUAUCUGUGGAGCAACGUGUUGGUUUCCAUAGGAAACUGUCAGCAUCACCACGGAGAAAUAAUUUCCCUGCGCUGCCCUUAUGUGUUGACUGCAGAACUGGCAAAGACCUGAGGCUCAAAGCGGUUAGAGCAAAAACGAAAGUAUAGUGACUCUACAUUUUGAUGGCAUGUUUAGAGAUCUCCCUUGGCAGUCAGGAUGGGAAGACUGGAAAUAAAGGGGCUGCCCGAUGCAGAACAUUCCCUCACUGGUAACCACGUAUUUGUGCUUGUGCUGCAGUACAGAGGUUUCUUGCCUUCCUUCGCACAGUGCAUCCGAGGCAUAGUGUUAAAUAAAGCGCCUCAUUUUAACAUUGCAUGAGUUGUGCCCUUGCCUCCAUGCCCUCCACUUUAGGCAGAUAUGAUGUAUAUGGGAGAUGGGACUGCCGCGGGGAACUCUCUACAGACUCAUAUGGCAUUUGUCAAGUGAAUGACAGUGCUAUCAGCACUGGGACUGAUCCUUACCAGGUGUAAACUGUUGGAGCCGCUUACACCAAGACGUUUCCAGGAAAACAAAUAAAUCAAGCAAGAAUGGCAGCAGGGUGGGUUUUUUCUUUUUUCUUGGCAACCAGCAGUUUAUUUUUUUCCAGCUGUGGUUUUCUAGUUCUAGAUGACAACUCAAAUAUUUUCACUGAAAACAAAAUUUUCAGGGAAACCCUCCAUCUCUUUUACUUUGUUUCCAAAAGCAAAACUUUCCUUCAACAACACCACAACCAGCCUAAAGACGCUUCUGGAUCCUCAAGUUGCACCAGGGGAGGUUCAGGUUGGACUCAAGAAAGAAUUUCUUCUCAGAAAGAGUGGUGAUGCAUUGGAACAGGCUGCCCAGGGAGGUGGUGGAGUCACCAUCUCUGGAGUUGUUUAAGGAAAGGGACUUGGUUAGUGUGCAAUAUUGGAGGUACGCGAAUGGUUGGACUGGAUGACCUUGGAGGUCUUUUCCAGCCUUAAUCAUUCCAUGAUUCACUUGCUUCUGCUCGUUAGGAGUCUGGACUGGUGAGAUGUGGGGUUUCUAGCAGAGGAGUUCAAAACCGUCAUAUCUCCAGUGCUUUAAAUAAAUGAAGGCAGCUGUCUAAGCUACACGUCUAUCCUAGCCAAAAUAUUGCUCAUUCCAAGUGGAUUUGCUUCGUUAUAAAUCGUCUACAAAUAAUUUAAAAAGCGACAGCGUUUCUUAAAUUAUCUUAUCAAGCUCUUUAAAUAUUGAAAUGCAUCAAAUAUUAAUGUUUGGCAAUUCAGGGUAUCCUCAGUCCUGGUUGCUGCAGUACUCUGAUCAGCAUUUGAGCCAUCUUCUGCCAGUCCUAGGAUCCAGAGAGUCCCAUUUAGCCCUUUCGUGCGUGCUCAGCUCCAGGGGCACUCUUUGCAAGAUGAAAACAUGGAAGCUCAGAGCGCUGGGAAGGCUUCAGCAGGAGUGGAGUAAGGAAGGAGUCAGGCAUGAGCAGAGUCAACGUGCAAUGCUACAUGCACCACCUAAGCAUGCUGCUGGUUGCAGGAGUGAUCUCCAAGUCCCUCAGCACAAGAACCAGGAGUGUUCAGGGUUCAUCUACCAGCACUUUGUGGAGCAGACUGCCCCAAACUGCAGGCCUUGCUGUUGCCACAAGGCUUGCAACCAGGCAGAUAAUUUGGCAAGGCAUCAACAAGAGGGUUUUGAUGGAGCCCCUCUUUCCCUACUCUCAUCCCACCACAGUCCACUGUGUUGCAGCGGGGAUUCAGCAAAACAAACGCAUUCUUCUGGAACGCAUCAACUUAACCUAAUCAGGGGAGUUUCUGACAGAAAUAUGUUCCACUGGAAAAUUUCUGACCAACACUAAUUAGCGUUUUUUUCUAUUAGCUUUGUCCUGAAGGCAUGAUAAUAUAUGUCUUAAUGAUGGUGAAAUUAUCACGUAAUGAUGGCUAAGAAUUGGGCACUCCCCAGCUUUUAAGCAUCUCUGCUUAUCCUAAACGUAAAGGACUUGCUCACUUGCAGAGCCUUACAUACUUAACACAAGGAAAGAAUGGCUGCCCAACUUUCUUGCACUUUACCUGGGCAUGGGCCCAACUGCAUUUUAAUCAGUUUGCUUUAAGAAAAAAAAAAAAAAGGGAAUUGUGGAUUUUCACUUACAGUGCAGUAAGGUCCAAGUUACUUUGGAGACAAGCCUUGUGUAUGAUGAGAGAUAGAUCAUGCUUGAAGGGCUUGUAAGAUAGGUGGUAAUAAAAAAACAAGAAAAAAAAA
This is a long non-coding RNA of Gallus gallus (chicken), 3921 nucleotides long. NCBI's taxonomy places the organism in Eukaryota, Metazoa, Chordata, Aves, Galliformes, Phasianidae. The record is from Ensembl.